This 355-nucleotide non-coding RNA is filed under the name Pongo abelii (Sumatran orangutan). Lineage: Eukaryota; Metazoa; Chordata; Mammalia; Primates; Hominidae. The record is from RNAcentral.
UGAAUCAGAGCCUGCCCAUCCACACUUGGCCCAAACCCAUCCGUCCAGGCCGACUUCCUAACUCCAGCGAGGCUGGGCAGGAAAGAACGCCCCCUGAAGCUGGACAGAGGAUAGAGCCCGUGUGUGCUUCCUGUUCAAGUCUGGGCCAUGUCUCCAGCUCCUUGGGGGCCCACAAUGAAGCUGAAAAAGGGGACUUAAAGGACCCCAGCUUUGGGACAUCCUGGCAGUGCCCCCAGAAGCCACAGAAGAGAGCUUCUGGUGCACCUGUCCAGGGACCACUACCCAGGCUCCGCCCCUGCUGUUUUCCUCUGGGAAGGGAUAGGAUAGGGGGAUGAGUUGGGGAGGGAGGAGGGAC